Molecule: ribosomal RNA, 250 nt
Filed under: uncultured prokaryote
Description: partial 16S ribosomal RNA
Rfam family: Bacterial small subunit ribosomal RNA
Source: RNAcentral
UACGUAGGUGGCAAGCGUUGUCCGGAUUUACUGGGUGUAAAGGGCGUGUAGCCGGGCCGGUAAGUCAGAUGUGAAAUGCACAGGCUCAACCUGUGAACUGCAUUUGAAACUGCUGGUCUUGAGUAUCGGAGAGGCAAUCGGAAUUCCUAGUGUAGCGGUGAAAUGCGUAGAUAUUAGGAGGAACACCAGUGGCGAAGGCGGAUUGCUGGACGACAACUGACGGUGAGGCGCGAAAGCGUGGGGAGCAAAC